GCCAGACUCCUACGGGAGGCAGCAGUGGGGGAUAUUGCACAAUGGGGGGAACCCUGGUGCAGCGACGCCGCGUGGGUGAAGGAGCGUUUCGGCGCGUAAAGCCCUAUCGGCAGGGAAGAAGGAGGACGGUACCUGACUAAGAAGCCCCGGCUAACUACGUGCCAGCAGCCGCGGUAAUACGUAGGGGGCAAGCGUUAUCCGGAUUUACUGGGUGUAAAGGGGGCGCAGACGGCAGCGCAAGCCAGGAGUGAAAGCCCGGGGCCCAACCCCGGGACUGCUCUUGGAACUGCGCGGCUGGAGUGCAGGAGGGGCAGGCGGAAUUCCUGGUGUAGCGGUGAAAUGCGUAGAUAUCAGGAGGAACACCGGUGGCGAAGGCGGCCUGCUGGACGACAACUGACGGUGAGGCGCGAAAGCGUGGGGAGCAAACAGGAUUAGAUACCCGCGUAU
Molecule: ribosomal RNA, 447 nt
Filed under: uncultured bacterium
Lineage: Bacteria
Description: partial 16S ribosomal RNA
Rfam family: Bacterial small subunit ribosomal RNA
Source: RNAcentral